This 484-nucleotide ribosomal RNA is filed under the name uncultured bacterium. Its description in RNAcentral is "partial 16S ribosomal RNA". It matches the Rfam family "Bacterial small subunit ribosomal RNA", at positions 30 to 507 of the family's 1533-position model. The record is from RNAcentral.
AUUGAACGCUGGCGGCAUGCCUAACACAUGCAAGUCGAGCGGAUGAAGGGGGCUUUCCCCUGUCUUCAGCUGCGGACGGGUGAGUAAUGCCUAGGAAUCUACCUUGUAUUUAGGGAUGACGUCCGUAAACGGGCCCUAAUACCACAUACGUCCUGAUGUUGAACGGGGGGGAUCAUCGGAGCUCACGCUUUCAGCUGAGCCUUGGUCGUAUUAGCUAGUUGGUUUGGUAACGGCCUACCAAGGCGACGAUCCGUAACCGCGCUGAGAGGGUGAUCAGUCACACUGGAACUGAGACACGGUCCAGACUCCUACGGGAGGCAGCAGUAGGGAAUCUUCGACAAUGGGCGAAAGCCUGACGCAGCAACGCCGCGUGAGUGAAGAAGGUCUUCGGAUUGUAAAGCUCUGUUAGUUGGGAGGAAGAAAAGUGAGUUAAUCUAUUGCCGUCUUGACGAUACCAAAAGAAUAAGCCACGGCUAACUUCGUG